UGGGGAAUUUUGGACAAUGGGCGAAAGCCUGAUCCAGCAAUGCCGCGUGUGUGAAGAAGGCCUUCGGGUUGUAAAGCACUUUUGUCCGGAAAGAAAUCCUUGGCUCUAAUACAGUCGGGGGAUGACGGUACCGGAAGAAUAAGCACCGGCUAACUACGUGCCAGCAGCCGCGGUAAUACGUAGGGUGCAAGCGUUAAUCGGAAUUACUGGGCGUAAAGCGUGCGCAGGCGGUUUGCUAAGACCGAUGUGAAAUCCCCGGGCUCAACCUGGGAACUGCAUUGGUGACUGGCAGGCUAGAGUAUGGCAGAGGGGGGUAGAAUUCCACGUGUAGCAGUGAAAUGCGUAGAGAUGUGGAGGAAUACCGAUGGCGAAGGCAGCCCCCUGGGCCAAUACUGACGCUCAUGCACGAAAGCGUGGGGAGCAAACAGGAUUAGAUACCCUGGUAGUCCACGCCCUAAACGAUGUCAACUAGUUGUUGGGGAUCAUUCCUUAGUAACGUAGCUAACGCGUGAAGUUGACCGCCUGGGGAGUACGGUCGCAAGAUUAAAACUCAAAUGAAUUGACGGGGUCAUAGCUG
Molecule: ribosomal RNA, 577 nt
Filed under: uncultured bacterium
Lineage: Bacteria
Description: partial 16S ribosomal RNA
Rfam family: Bacterial small subunit ribosomal RNA
Source: RNAcentral